This is a non-coding RNA of Biomphalaria pfeifferi, 509 nucleotides long. The record is from the annotation of a GenBank genome assembly. Lineage: Eukaryota; Metazoa; Mollusca; Gastropoda; Planorbidae.
AUUAGUCUAAAAAAUUAUCAUCUAGAAUUGUAACAAAGUACUGAGGUGGCAGUGUGACAAGAUGCUUAACUUCCGCAAUGGGGGUCUCGAGUUUGAAUCUUGGUGAAGACUGGGAUUUUGAGUUUCAGAAUUUUAGGGUGCCCCUGAAUCCACCCAAUCCUAAUGGAUACCUGGUCUCAGUAGAGAAAAUAAAGGUGAUUCGUUGUUGUGCUGGUCACAUGACACCCUUAUAAACGUUGGACAUGGAAACAGACGAAUGUUAAAUUAUCUGCCCCUGCAGAUUACAAGGACUGAAAAGGGUACUCAUAUGGUCUGAAGAAAAACAGACUACAUCAAGCUAUAAAUAGUAAGAACUUCACAAUUAUUUUUUGAAUAAUUAGGACUGUACAGUAAUUGUAAAUCAACUAAAAAUAUUGAGUGUUUUAGUUGUUGUUUUUUUUUUACUUCUUUAUUUCAUACAAGCAAUGUUUGUAUGUUUGAUUCAAAAAAGUUUUUUUCUAAAUAGCCUU